GACGAACGCUGGCGGCGUGCUUAACACAUGCAAGUCGAACGGAAAGGCCCUGCUUUUGUGGGGUGCUCGAGUGGCGAACGGGUGAGUAACGCGUGAGUAACCUGCCCUUGACUUUGGGAUAACUUCAGGAAACUGGGGCUAAUACCGGAUAGGAGCUCCUGCUGCAUGGUGGGGGUUGGAAAGUUUCGGCGGUUUGGGAUGGACUCGCGGCUUAUCAGCUUGUUGGGGGGGUAGUGGCUUACCAAGGCUUUGACGGGUAGCCGGCCUGAGAGGGUGACCGGCCACAUUGGGACUGAGAUACGGCCCAGACUCCUACGGGAGGCAGCAGUGGGGAAUAUUGCACAAUGGGCGGAAGCCUGAUGCAGCAACGCCGCGUGCGGGAUGACGGCCUUCGGGUUGUAAACCGCUUUCGCCUGUGACGAAGCGUGAGUGACGGUAAUGGGUAAAGAAGCACCGGCUAACUACGUG
Molecule: ribosomal RNA, 468 nt
Filed under: uncultured bacterium
Lineage: Bacteria
Description: partial 16S ribosomal RNA
Rfam family: Bacterial small subunit ribosomal RNA
Source: RNAcentral